AUAAGCUUCAAAAUGGGAAAGGGAGGCAGAGCGCCAUCCUGCAAAUUGCUCUAUCACCUGUGAAGUGCCAUGAAACCAUGAAAGGGCCUUCCUUUUUGAAGCAAAGGAUGAAUAAGGAAAUAUUUCAUCUGUGCUGAGCAUAGAAGAGGAAGUUGGUUUUAAGACACAGAUCACUUAUCUUCUGGAUGAAAGACAGAUCGGAUUUCCAAAACUUCCAUUUUCCCAUUUCAUGUCGUCCGCAAGGAAAACGGCUGAAGAUGAAGACAGCACACUUUGAGAGAUUGAAUAAACAUCCCCCAAACAGCAGAAGGAGUAGCCAGAACACAGAUUUACUUGCCUAGCUUCAAAUCCAGUAUGUUUACCAGGCAUUCAGGACUCUUUGUAAUUUUCUUACUGAUGUAGAAUUCAUUGUAAUAUGUGUUGGAAAUGUCUUCUCCCAGGAAGUGUUGAUGUUUUCAUGGACAUCAUCCUUAGAUGACAGGAAUUCCUCAAUUUUCUAAUAAUAUUUUGAUUCCUGAGAUUCUUCUCUCUGCUGCAAAUCAUGAUGCUUACCCUUAUGGAAAAAUAAAAGAUGGUGUGAGAUGAACCCUGGCCACACUCUCCUUACCGUCUAGAAGUGAAGAUGAGGUUAGAGAGUCUCUACAAUCUCUUUCUUCCAAAGAGCUGUCCUCCAUCGACACCGAACACCUGUAGUUUUAAUACAGCUUCCGCACACAGAGUUUCCUUGCUUUCUCUUGCUUGGAUUUUGGAUUAUAUCAUUACAAGGUCAUUGAAGUUUAUUACAGGGAAACCGAUGUCCAAAGAGUAUCAAGAAACUGAAGCUUCCCAGAGCCCAACUCCUCGGCUUCCUGGCACCAGAAUCCACCAUCUAGCACGAAGGCAGACAACCAAGGACAUUAACCUGCAGAUCCCCUCAUCUCAUCAUCUACCCUCUCUGCUAGCAGUCUGACAAAGCCAAACACAGUCUGGUGGGAAAGCACUGACCAGCAAGGUCACGGGCUCCCCUUCCCUACAAGCAGCAAAACUUUAAAACCCUUUAUCCCCUUCUUAAUGGAGAGCCAGAAGUCCCUAAGCCAUUAGCCAACUGGUAUUCCCUUUGCCUGGCAAAGAAAAUAAUGAAACCCUUUUUUUCCUUUUCACCCAAAACUCUGUUCUCAUUUGGAUUGGCACUGAGUUCGGAGACCGAACUUUCAGUAACAACCUCACAAUUUACAAAUGUGUGGAAAAACUCUCUUUUCCCCCAACUUUCUGUUUUGAUAAAUUUCAAACCAGCAGCAAAUUUGAAAGAAGAGUAUAGUAUAAACACCCAUGUAUUCUUCAUAUAUUCACACACAUUUUUGCUGAACCAUUUUUAAAUAAGUUGCAUAAACCAUGACUCUAAAUAGCUCUGUAUGUAGCUCUCAAAAAUUAGAACUGAAAAAAAGCAUGAGGAUGUUUUCCAACAUAAUCACAAUAAUUACAUAAUUAUAACUCUCAAGGGUUUUUAAAUUGAUAAAAUAGUCCUAUUUUAUGUACAGUCCUUUACCAAAUGGCCUCAGUUGUCCCAAUAAUGACCUUUAUAGCUAUUUUGUUGUUGUUAUAUUGAAGCAAGAUCCAAUCAAGGACUGCAUGUUACAGUUAACUGUCAUAACUCUUUAGUCUCUUCACAUUGAAAACUUUGCCCUGUCUUUUAAAAAAAUUCUCGUAUAAUAUUGAAACUUUUGAAAAACCCAAGUCAGCUGCUUUUGUGGUAUAAUAAUUGCAUUUAUCUAAUUGGCAUCUCAUGCUUCAAUUCAGAAUUAAACAUUUGCAGUAAGAAUGCUACAUGGUUGGGGAUGGAUUCUGCUCAGUUAUCUUACUAGGAGUCAUAUAAUGUCAGUUUGAUCUAUUAUUGGUGAUAUUUGUUUUCUCCAUUGUAAAGGUACUUUUUGCCCGUUGUAAUUAUUUUUUUAAACUCUAUUUUAAAUAAAAUUUAAAUAAACCUACCUAUUUUUUUUUU
RNAcentral lists this long non-coding RNA (1978 nucleotides) under Equus caballus (horse). Its description in RNAcentral is "lncRNA (ENSECAG00000039031.3)". The record is from RNAcentral. Lineage: Eukaryota; Metazoa; Chordata; Mammalia; Perissodactyla; Equidae.